AAAAAAAAAAUUAGUUGGAUUAUCCUGAAAGUCAUACAGAAAUUCAGGCAACCCAGAAUAGCCAGAACAAUCUAGAAGGAGACAAAGUUCUGGAGAACUGACACUUUAUGACUUUAGGAUUUAUUACACGGCUGUCAUAAUCCAGACUGUGUGCCGCUGGCAUAGGGACAGACAUCAUCAGUGGGAUAGAGUGGAAAGUCUGGGGUUAAAUCCCGACGUCUGUCACCAGUUGAUGGCAAGAGUAUACAGACCAUUCAAUGAGGGGAAGAAUAAUCCUUGGGACAAAUGAUGCUGAGACAACUGGAUACCCUACGCAGAAGAGUGAACUUGGACCUAAAUGUGCUCAGAAUUUUGAUGUCAUCCGACUGUCAACGUACAGGACAGCUUGCAAGUUACGAUUUGUACAGAAAAGAUGCAACCUCCACCUCGUUGAUAUCUGGAACAUGAUUGAAGCCUUCCGAGACAACGGCCUUAAUACCCUGGACCACACAGCUGAGACCAGUGUGUCCCGCCUGGAAACUGUCAUCUCCUCCAUCUACUACCAGCUGAACAAGCGCCUUCCCUCCACCCACCAGAUCAGCGUGGAGCAGUCCAUCAGCCUCCUCCUCAACUUCAUGAUCGCAGCAUACGACAGUGAGGGCCGAGGCAAGUUGACGGUAUUUUCAGUUAAAGCUAUGUUAGCAACCAUGUGUGGUGGAAAAAUGCUGGACAAAUUGCGAUAUAUUUUCUCGCAGAUGUCAGAUUCCAAUGGCUUAAUGAUAUUUAGCAAGUUUGACCAGUUUCUGAAGGAAGUGCUGAAGCUCCCGACAGCUGUCUUCGAAGGGCCGUCCUUCGGCUACACGGAGCACUCGGUCCGCACCUGUUUCCCGCAGCAGAAGAAGGUAAUGCUCAACACGUUCCUAGACACGAUGAUGGCCGACGCUCCGCCCCAGUGCCUUGUCUGGCUGCCGCUCAUGCACAGGCUCGCCCACGUCGAGAACGUCUUCCAUCCCGUGGAGUGCUCCUACUGCCGCUGUGAGAGCAUGAUGGGCUUCCGGUACCGAUGCCAGCAGUGCCACAACUACCAGCUCUGCCAGAACUGCUUUUGGCGUGGCCAUGCCAACGGCAGUCACAGCAACCAGCACCAGAUGAAGGAGCAUUCCUCUUGGAAAUCCCCUGCGAAGAAGCUGAGCCAUGCAAUUAGUAAAUCUUUGGGGUGUGUGCCCACCAGAGAGCCCUCGCAUCCUGUGUUUCCUGAGCAGCCAGAGAAACCACUGGAUCUUGCACAUAUAGUUCCUCCCCGCCCUCUGACUAAUAUGAAUGACACCGUGGUCAGCCACACGUCCUCCGGAGUGCCCACGCCCACCAAGAGGUCACAGUGCAGCCAGGGCGUAGCCGGUGCCUUGGCCGAUGAGCAUGUGCUGAUAGCCUCCUAUGUGGCCCGUCUGCGGCACUGUGCACGCGUCCUGGACAGUCCUAGCCGAUUGGAUGAGGAGCACCGGCUGAUAGCGCGCUAUGCUGCCCGGCUGGCUGCAGAGGCAGGAAAUACGACUCGACCUCCCACGGACCUGAGCUUCAACUUUGAUGCCAACAAACAACAAAGACAGCUCAUCGCAGAACUGGAAAACAAGAACAGGGAGAUCCUGCAGGAGAUCCAGCGCCUGCGCCUGGAGCACGAGCAGGCGUCGCAGCCCACGCCCGAGAAGGCGCAGCAGAACCCCACGCUGCUGGCCGAGCUGCGGCUGCUGAGGCAGAGGAAAGACGAACUAGAGCAGAGGAUGUCAGCGCUGCAGGAAAGCCGGCGUGAGCUGAUGGUGCAGCUGGAAGGGCUGAUGAAGCUGCUGAAGGAGGAAGAGCAAAAGCAGGCAGCUCAGGCCGCGGGAUCCUCACACACGUCACCCACUCACGGAGGUGGCCGCCCCAUGCCCGUCCGCUCCGCGUCUGCCGGCUCCACGCCCACCCACUGCCCGCAGGACUCGCUGAGCGGCGUCGGCGGAGAUGUGCAGGAGGCGUUCGCACAAGGUACGAGGAGAAACCUGCGCAGUGACCUGCUGGUGGCUGCCGACUCCAUCACCAACACCAUGUCAUCCCUGGUGAAAGAACUCCGAUCAGGUGAAGCCCAGGGCUCCCACGCGGCACACGCGGCCUCAUCUCACCCCUCAGUCUUUGCCUUCUAGGCAGAAGAAGAUGCAGACGAAGACGACGACAAGAUGCAGAACGGCAAAGACAGAGGUUAGCAGAGCAGCGGGGACACAGAGAAGCCCGGCCCGCAGGACGAGGAGCACGCCGGCCCCGACACGACGAAGGCACGGGCGUCCGCCCGGAGGCGCAUUCCAGGCCGGCCCGCCGCCGCCGCUGCACACCUGCACCAGGCCUGCGGGCGCCGGGCG
RNA transcript from Lepus europaeus (European hare), 2369 nucleotides. It is a transcript of the gene named dystrobrevin beta, with no coding region annotated. The record is from RefSeq and is a predicted model, not a curated record. NCBI's taxonomy places the organism in Eukaryota, Metazoa, Chordata, Mammalia, Lagomorpha, Leporidae. The transcript is spliced from 20 exons.